Molecule: ribosomal RNA, 482 nt
Filed under: uncultured bacterium
Lineage: Bacteria
Description: partial 16S ribosomal RNA
Rfam family: Bacterial small subunit ribosomal RNA
Source: RNAcentral
AUUGAACGCUGGCGGCAUGCUUUACACAUGCAAGUCGAACGGUAACAGGCCGCAAGGUGCUGACGAGUGGCGAACGGGUGCGUAAUGCAUCGGAACGUGCCCAGUCGUGGGGGAUAACUACUCGCAAGAGUAGCUAAUACCGCAUACGAUCUAUGGAUGAAAGCGGGGGACCGUAAGGCCUCGCGCGAUUGGAGCGGCCGAUGUCAGAUUAGGUAGUUGGUGGGGUAAAGGCUCACCAAGCCAACGAUCUGUAGCUGGUCUGAGGGGACGACCAGCCACACUGGGACUGAGACACGGCCCAGACUCCUACGGGAGGCAGCAGUGGGGAAUUUUGGACAAUGGGCGCAAGCCUGAUCCAGCAAUGCCGCGUGCAGGAAGAAGGCCUUCGGGUUGUAAACUGCUUUUGUACGGAACGAAACGGCUCUGGUUAAUACCCGGGGCUAAUGACGGUACCGUAAGAAUAAGCACCGGCUAACUACGUG